RNAcentral lists this transfer RNA (69 nucleotides) under Mus musculus (house mouse). It matches the Rfam family "tRNA". From Rfam's summary of the family: Transfer RNA (tRNA) molecules are approximately 80 nucleotides in length. Their secondary structure includes four short double-helical elements and three loops (D, anti-codon, and T loops). Lineage: Eukaryota; Metazoa; Chordata; Mammalia; Rodentia; Muridae. The record is from Rfam by way of RNAcentral. RNAcentral also lists the same sequence under 1 other name.
GGAGUUAUGGCUCAGUGGUAGAACACAUUCCUCAGAUGUAUGAAGUCCUGAGUUCGAUUCUUAAUACCA